Molecule: small nucleolar RNA, 66 nt
Organism: Bufo bufo (common toad)
Lineage: Eukaryota; Metazoa; Chordata; Amphibia; Anura; Bufonidae
Source: RefSeq, a predicted model, not a curated record
CUGCAAUGAUGAGUUUAACUAGCUCACUUUGAUAGCACAGUGAAAAAUUAUGAACUUCUGAGCAGC